Molecule: ribosomal RNA, 564 nt
Filed under: uncultured bacterium
Lineage: Bacteria
Description: partial 16S ribosomal RNA
Rfam family: Bacterial small subunit ribosomal RNA
Source: RNAcentral
UGGGGAAUAUUGCACAAUGGGCGAAAGCCUGAUGCAGCAACGCCGCGUGAGUGAUGAAGGCCUUCGGGUUGUAAAGCUCUGUCUUUUGGGACGAUAAUGACGGUACCAAAGGGAGGAAGCCACGGCUAACUACGUGCCAGCAGCCGCGGUAAUACGUAGGUGGCAAGCGUUGUCCGGAUUUACUGGGCGUAAAGGAUGCGUAGGCGGAUUUUUAAGUGAGAUGUGAAAACCCUAAGCUUAACUUGGGGACUGCAUUUCAUACUGGAAAUCUAGAGUGCGGGAGAGGAGAAUGGAAUUCCUAGUGUAGCGGUGAAAUGCGUAGAGAUUAGGAAGAACACCAGUGGCGAAGGCGAUUCUCUGGACCGUAACUGACGCUGAGGCAUGAAAGCGUGGGGUAGCAAACAGGAUUAGAUACCCUGGUAGUCCACGCCGUAAACGAUGAGUACUAGAUGUAGGAGGUAUCGACCCCUUCUGUGCCGCAGUUAACACAAUAAGUACUCCGCCUGGGAAGUACGAUCGCAAGAUUAAAACUCAAAGGAAUUGACGGGGUCAUAGCUGUUUCCU